Molecule: ribosomal RNA, 2115 nt
Filed under: Triticum aestivum (bread wheat)
Lineage: Eukaryota; Viridiplantae; Streptophyta; Magnoliopsida; Poales; Poaceae
Description: partial small subunit ribosomal RNA
Source: RNAcentral
AUGUCGCGCUCGUGGGCCGCAACGCUCACGUCGGCCUCCUUCGUCGAGCUCCACCUCCGUGAGGCCAACCGUCACCGGUCCACGCCCAAGCUCUUCUUCACAACGGGGCACCCCGAGGACCCGGACAACAGGUGGCUAAUCGAUAAGGUCCUCACCAAGCCUUGCAAUGGCCUCGUUCUACUCCACCGCCUGCCCGGCAGCGGCUACUAUGUCUACAACGCAAGCACCGGCGUGCUUCUGCCCCUCCCUGACAGCGACGAUCGCCGGUGGGGCAUGGCCAUGGGCGAGUCCUACGGCCUGGGCUACAGCCCGAUCACCAAGGAGCACAAGGUGGUGCGGCUCUUUAACUCCGGCUCCACCCCCUGUUGCGAGGUCUUCUCGCUCGAUGUGUCGAUGCAGUGGAGAGUCGUCCCUCGGCAGACUCCCCCCUCACGCGUCCCUGUGCGAGUUCAUCCUGCCGUGUUCUGUGAUGGGUACCUGCACUUCCUCCAGGGUCGUGGCGGCAGCAACAUCGUCACCUUCGAUGUAGGCGACGAGACCUUUGGUCUGCUGGCGACACCCCCAUCAGCACAAGGCAAUGAUGUUCCGCUCGAGCUGACGGUACUCGGCAGACGCUUGUGCAUGUGUGUCUUCCGCGGCGGUCGAGGAAGCGACGUCGACCCUUACUGCAUCUGGCGGCUGGCCUGUCGAGAUUCCGGGCAAUGGGAGAAGCUCUACCGCGUGCUUCACCCACAGACCUGCAGGCCCCAGCUCGACCUGCUGCGGGUACCCUGGAUUUCUCCCCUCGAAACCUACCUAGCGGGCAAUGUGCAGAAGAUCAUGUUCGCCACGGAGGUGGGCGUGCUCGCGUUCGACCUCCAAGGCGGCGGCGGCGUCCCAGAGGUGCUGGUCUCGCCGACGGAGAUCGUUUCCGCCGCCGAACAAGCCAAGAUUUCCUACAGCACCGCGGGGUUGCUGGAGGAGAGCCUCGUGCCCGUGGGCCGCACGAGCGAGGAGAUCGCCUUCUCCUCCCCAUGGAGGAAGGCGUGGUCGGACGUCCUCAAGUGGCGACCCGCACGGUCGGUUGCCUCCCUGGCGCACGUGUGCAAAGGGUGGCGCGCGGUGAUCGAGAGCGACCGGUUCGCCCGGACGCACGCGCUCCACGCGAACCUGGGCAACAAGAGCCCUCGGCUCAUGCUCGUCCUCCUCCGCCCCUUCUUGAACGCCCUCGACUUCUACCCACUGCCACUGGUGUUCCGCCGGAGCAUGCAACAGGAGAUCCCUAGCCUACACGAGACGUCUAUGUCGACGGUGUGCUCCAGGCCCUGCCACGGCCUCGUCCUCGUCACCCACAUGGACGGCGGCUCCCGCGUCGACUUCGUCUGCAACCCUAUCAGGAACUACGGAUGCCGCGUAAAAACAGACCCACCAAAUUCUCCUUAUUCUGAUGGCUGGAUAGGGUUGGGUUACGACCUGCGUAGGAACGAGCACGUGCUGGCACGCCUCGUCCGUCCUGAGACUGAGACGGGCUCUCGACAUCACCAACCGAUGAAGUGCUACGUCCAGCUCAUGGGCAUCACGCCGUCACCGUGGAUCCCAAUCAGCCCCCCGCCAAGGCCGCCGGCGGUCGACAUGCAGCCUGCCUAUGCCGACGGGAAACUCUACUGGAUGGUGGAAGACGACGGCGACGAUGAUAAACCAGCUUCAAGCCGGUGUGAGCUGCUGGCGCUCGACGUCGGCACGCGGGAGUUCGCGGUGCUGCCAGGGCCGCCAUGCGACCGCGGCCAGAUCACGUCCAUUGCCGAGCUCCAAGGGAACGUGUGCGUCGUGUGCUCGGACACGGGCGCGAACGCCAUCGACGUGUGGACAUUGGGAGGUGCAGCGGGCUCUUGGUCGGCAUGGCCUUGCCGUAUCGAGCUCGGGGAGUUUCGGCAGCUGUACCCGUCGGCGGAGACCAGGCUGUUGGCCGUUGAUCCGAAGGACGGGAGGGUGCUUCUCAGCACGGGGAGAGUGUUGGGAUACUACAACCCCGAGACACGGGCGUUGCAGACCGCCUACUGUAUUUCAUCAGAAGACCUACAGGGUAUGGUUGCUCCGGCGGUCUGCCAUGAAAGCUUGCUCCGUCCACGGAUUUAG